Aethalodelphis obliquidens (Pacific white-sided dolphin) is the source of this 7227-nucleotide long non-coding RNA. RefSeq lists it as uncharacterized. The record is from RefSeq and is a predicted model, not a curated record. Lineage: Eukaryota; Metazoa; Chordata; Mammalia; Artiodactyla; Delphinidae. The transcript has 19 exons.
AAACCUUAGUCCAAGAGGCUCAGGUGGAAAAAGUGUGGGUUGGUGACACCCAGCCCUGAGUCAGAAUCCCAGCUCUUGCAUUGCCUGCAUGACUGCACAAGUUACAUGAGAUUGUUUGAGCUUCAGUUUCAUUUGCUAAAUAAUUGGGAUAAUAAUACACACAGCACUGGGUAGUUAGGAUUUAAUCAGAGAAGGCAUGAGAAGUAAGCACCCAUCAACUGAGCUAUUAUCUCCCUGAAAUGAUGGCUGGAGAAGAAUAAAAGGGAUCUAAAGUAAAGACGUGUAGUAGAUGCUUCAUAAACGCUGCUGAAGAAACAAAACUGCAUGUACAAACCGAUGAGCAGCAGAGCCCAUCGGGGCUGAUACAAAGCGAGACCACAGAGAGGGCUGCUGUCUACGAUCCAGCCGCCUGCUUCCUGUUGGGGCCGCCAGCCUGGCCACCCAUCGACAGCAGGAUAUCUUACACUGAAAUGGGCUCGUGGAGGUGUGUGACAUCACAGAAACGGAGUGGUCUUUGGAAAGAGGCUGGCCUGGGUUUGAAUCCUGCUAGACCACAUACCAACGGUGUCUCCUUGGACACUUCCAUUCCUCGUUUUGAACGUCAACAUCCCAUCUAUUAAAUGGAGACAGGGGGCUUCCUUCCAGUUCUCCUUGUUACGGCUUCACCGUUGGCUGGCGUGGUCAAUACGGCAGGCAGAAUUACCCCAACUCACAGAUACCCUGCACGUUUUGCAAGUUCUCUUUGUGAUGACCUGCAUUGGUACCUGUUUUCGCUAACUGGAAGAAAUGUGAAGAGGGUUUUCGCAGUUAGGGAGAAAGACCUUCAUCAAGCCUGCUGCAGUGGAUCAGCUUCAUUCCCCAGGAAUACUAAAGAGCCUUCGUGAGGGUCCUCCAGCGAGUCCUCAGUCUCAGUUCUCACAGGUUCCAAAGAAAUUAUCAAAGGGAUUAAGUCAAGGUGUGAUACUGUCCUCUGUGCAUUCUGAAAGAUCAUUCUGGCUGAAGAUCCCAGCACAACACAGAAGACUGAAAUCUGAGAGGCUUAGCAGAAGGAGUUAAGGAGCCCAUCAAGAGGAGGAUGGACAGACCAAAGAAAAUAGCCCGAGGGAACAGACACCUGAGAUACAGAGUUUCCAUAAGGAGGAGAAAACACUGUCAUAAUCAAAGAAGGAAACGAUAGCUGUGAUUUCUAAAGACGCUGAAGAAGUCAAACGUUAGAUUCCUGCUCCUUUUGCUUCGGCUCCAUUUCUCUUCAGAAUACAGCCGGAUCUGCCCCCGGAAGGAGUGUUCAAGGCUGGGGCAGGAGGCGACUUUCCUCAUCGGACCCUGAGACAAGGAGAUGCCCUCUGGCCCCAGAGGCCCCCCAAGAAAGACAGUCGCUGAUGUUCAGAGCAGUAGCUAAUUUCCAACGUUAUUGACUUUUCAUUCAUGUAAUGAAGCACAUGCCUUUGGAGUUAAGAAGGGGAUGAAGCCACAGAACUUCCUCCAAGGAGCAGGCACUCACCUCCGGUUCUCAGAAGCAGAAGAAGCCAAGUCACACGUUUCUAUGAAUUCUCUCAGAAAGCCGAUGAUUAGUAAUAAUAGCAGUAGCCGUGUCUAUUGAUUGAGCACAGGUGCCAGACUCUUCACAGAUCUCGCCUGUAAGGGAGCCUCCCAGAGAUGUGGGCAGCUCCUUUCAUAGCUAAGUCAACAACGUCUCAGCAAGGACAGUGAAGAGAAGCAAGGUCGUCUCUUGCAGAGCACGGGCCGGAAGUCCGGAGGGUCAAGGUCGUGCCCCGGCCCCAGCCGACCCAACGUGGCUUGGGCAAGACUCGUCUGCCAGUGGACAUUCCAAAGCACUGUACCAAAGAGUUAUUAGCUGCAGCGAGAAGGCACACGCUGGCGGAUGAUUUGAUUGAAAUGAAGUGUCUGUACAAUGCGAGUGGUACCCCCAGCAGAUAUACUGACACCUCCCAGUGCCUCCCAAGUUGGAAAUCAGGAGGAAACCAGUUUCCGGCUGCUGCGUGCCAGGCACCGUGUGGCGUUACCGCCACACGCUUUGACACAGAAACAGCUUUGGAAAAUGUGGGUGCACAUAUAGACGCGUAGACGUCUAAGACAUACUCCUGUGUGCCUCUGAUGUAGCUCUGACAUUUUACGGAGAAGAGACUCCCCUAAACAUCUUAUCCAGACAGCUCCAUGUGGGUCUGCAAUUGCCUCAAAUUUUCAAGAAGUCAAAUAUAUAUGGAUAAUUACAAUGCACAGUCCCAAAGGCCGUGCUGGCAUUGGAGCAUAGAGUGGACACAUACCGUCUCACUGUGAUUAGGAGAAGCAACCAGAGAAGGUCUCCCAAGGCAGGGGACCUCAUCACAGGUCAUUCACUUGUCAGAGAAGCUGGAGCCUUUGUCUUAGAGAAUUACCCAUGUUCUGGAUUUGAAUGGUUCCUUCUUCGUGGGGUCUGGAUCAUUUCUCUAUCCACUGUUAUCUCCUGAUAGUGGUCAUUUAUCAUCACCGUCAUCAUCAUCGCCAUCAUCAUCAUCAUCAUCACCACAUUGUACCACAUGAUCCCAGCAUUGUUGGAAGGGUGAGAAUAUAGGCAAGCGAGUGCUACUUCUAGAAGUCUAACUCCCCUGUCGUGUAACUUUAAACCAAGCCUUUCUUCCCUGCGACGUAGAACACGGACCACGAUCUCAUGUUGGUGCUCAAGUCUGGGGAGUGAUUCCCGUACAGAGACAAUGCACGGACUUGUGCAAUGGCCAAGAAAGGCCGGCCCUGCAGCUGCAUUCAGAGCAGGGAGUUUCUGGAAGCAGACCUUUCUGACGAUAAUAAGAUGGUUGGAGCAUGAACUUUGCCGCCAUGCUGGAUUCAUACCUUGUACCCCUCACCAGCUGAGAGACCUUGGAAAGUCUCCCUCACGUUUCCGUACCUUAGCUUCCUUCUCAGCUACGUGGAAAGAGCAGCACGUAUCUCUGACGGCCGUUGUGAAGAGCGAGGGAGCUAAAGCCAAGGGCAGGGCCCGGAAGAAAUGAAAAUGUUUUCCUGGGCCCCUCUCCGAAGUGAAUUCUGCCAAAGAACAGAGGAGUGCCACAAGCUGCUUUUUGAGAUGGUUAGGGUGCGUGUGUUGCCAGGAGCAUGGCAUGAAGCAUGGCGUGCCUGCUACGAUUCCAUUCUGUAAGGAGUGUCCACCCGGACCCCGACUGUCAUAGAUGGUCACACCUGAGACCACGAUUAGGGGACCAGAGUGGAGAACUCCAGGUUCCAGCUCCCAGGUCGAGUGGCUGCUAAAUGCCUCUGGAACAGGACCUAAGAGUCACCCCAGACCCAGGGGGAGGAAGGAGAGUGACCAAAACUCUACAGGGGCAGCACUACCACCAGCCUGUCCCCUGGGUUCCCCUGCACAGAAGACACAUCCUGAACAGACACUGUCCCAGUAUCAGGGAAACCAGCUUCUUUUCAUUUCAUCAACAGAACUGGACACGGAUCAAUUUCAACUGACCUUUGCCGAAAGGUGGCGCUGUUGAGAUGCCACGGGCAGAAGCUUUAACAGAGCCGAGCACCCUGCUUUUCUCUCGGGCCCUGGAUAGUAUUGUAUUUUCAGUGAUGUCAAACGUGGUCAUUCAUCAGACAGAGCCGUACCCAAGGGAAUCCUCUACAUCAGUGAUGUGAAAAAUCCUGUUGCCUGAAGUCAAAGAGGUACAUCUUGAUUUCUGAUUUGCAUGUGCCUGUUUGAGUGCAUUUUCCAUGAGGGAGACAGCAAGCGAGCAAAGCGAGUGAGGAAUGCUGAUCGCUUUCGAGGCGCGAAGGUCUCCUGCUUUAGUGGUUUUAGCAUUGGGGUUUCACAUGUACGUAAAUGGUGAUACCAGAUGCUGAAGUGAAGGAUGCAUUGUGUGUUGAGACGAGCAUGCAUGCAUUUUUAUAUUGAUUUCAUGACGUAGGUGUGGUGUACAGAGUACUAAUCCAGUCCGAGUGGAUCUCAGAUCUUUCGCCUUAACUAGCGUGAGUCUGUUGACUCAUCUUUAUAUUUGAAUGUCAGACAAUUUGCGUUGUCCCCCUCCUGUGUCCAAAUGUGAGUUUGGAGCCACUCCUCCCUUCAAAUGUAGGCAGAGGGAGGCAGAAAUGUGAUUUUCACCUAUGAAAAAAAAUGAAAUUAAGCUAUUUAAAUGGGUUUUCAAUUACAGGGAUCCCGGGGUGAAUUUAAUUAUGAAUCCUCUUCGUUUAGAGAGCUAGACCAACACUCUUACACCAAUAAUUACUUAGUGUUAUCGUUUUAUGUAUUCCUGUUACGUCUUAUUGGCUAAUGGAAUGAAGUUUGACUUUUUUUUUUUUUUUAUUAAAUUUGCUUGCUGAGAAAUUUGCAUGAAAUACAGCUUUGGGUUUAAGUCCCACCAUCAAAUUGCUACUGUUUAAGAAGGAGACACUUUAAGAAUCCAGUGAAUUGAGGGUGUCAGGAAACAGACCCGGAUCUUUUCCUGCUCUUCCGAUAUGGUAUCUGAUUACUUACUUUUACACGUUAUUUUAAGGACAGGCUUUGAAUAACUGGACCGUGAAUAUUUAACGUGAUUUCUUUCCUAGCCUUAAACAAAAUUAACAUUUUCUUUAAUAGCUCAUACAUAGAUUUUAACUAAGUGUACACCUUUGGGAUUAAUUUGUGUAUCCUUGUGUACGCAUGCCAUACCGAUACUUUAUUCCUUUCUCUUUCUAUUCCUUUCUUUUAUCCCUGUCCUUAUAAUUGCAGUUUGAAAGCCAUCUAUUAAAUAUAAUGAUCCAGACACACCGGGCAGGUUUUGUUACACCGAAACCAUCCAUUUUGAGCAAAGAGUUAAUGAACUUUUAAGGCAAGAUUCACCCGGGUCUUGACCCCACCCCCCGUAAUAUUUCAUAUAAGGUUACUGGCGGGAGAGAAAUCAAAUUUCAGCCGUGAACAUGAUUGACAGGUGAGCGUGAGGAAGAGAAAGGCAUUUGGCUAGAUGGGGAAUUUGGAGAGGAGGACAAUUCCUCCAAGUUACUCUGUGGUAUUAGGUAUUAUAAGCUGAUAUAUGAAAAGUUCAAUACUUGAUACUCCUGGGAGAGUUACUUAGUUUAUUUUCAGAAAGUCACUUUGGUUAAGAGAUUUCAGUCCUGGAAGCCAAAAAUGGGGAAUCACUAGCUUUCUGCUGUCUUGCUGAUUUCCACUAUGUACAACUUUGUGGCUUAUUUCUGGCAACUUUCUAGGCUAGAGUGUGAGAAUUAAAUCACAAGCCAUUUGGGGAGGCAUUUGAUUAUUUUAUUUAUUCUCAGAAACACAGUCUAGAUUAUAUUCUGGUUCUUGGGCAUAUUACAGAAUAGUCAUCCUAAGUGGUAUCACAAAAAGAUCAAAUUCUCCAUUUUCCUAGCAUCCCUUGAUCCUAACAUUUUCCAUUAGUGCACGUUCCAGCUUAACAUACGCAAAUCUACCCAAGUGCAUGAUUUAUCAAGGUUGUGCCUUCUAAGCAAAGUCUUCUAACAUGACGAUCAAGAGAGACAACAGUCCCACACUGCCGUUUGAUGUCAGUUUCUCCAUGGUAGCAUCCCUGGGUCAGGUGUGAUGUUAGCAUCGUCACCAUGGAAAGAAGUGAUGGUGUUGCUUGACCCUAAGACAAAGAGUGGCUUUGGAAUUCACCUUAGAGCCUGUCUCUUAGCGUGAACUGUCAAAAGGAGGUAACACAACUACUCAUGGUUGGCACCAAAACUGAAAGCAGGCCUUUAAUACAUGCUCUUUCAUCUUGUGUGUUGAAACACUAAUUUCGGGAGAUACUGGUGGACCUUAGCCUGCUGAUGUGUAUGCUCUACCCAUUACAGAUGUUCCUGACAUUGGCUAAGACCCAUCCGGAUGCAACCGAGCCUUAACAGAGCUGCCUUGGGGCAGGGCAGGUCGGACACAUAUAACAUAGGGGAGAGGCCUGUUGGUAGCUUUCCUGUCACCCGUGGGAGUUUCCUGAUGGAACUUGUAAAAACAGCUCUUCCCGGGUUCUAAGUACCCGUCACUUUUUUUUUUUCCUAGUCUUAACAAUUAGCUGAGUGGAUAUGUUUUAUCCUGACUGUACCUAUGCUGACGUGAAUUCAAACCAAUGUAAGGAAGGCUUUACUCUGUUAUGAACUGGGAUAUAAACAAAAAACACAGUAAAAGGACUCCGAAAUCUUGUUUCUCCUUUGUAUAACGUGUCCUCCCACGUUGCCAGGAAUCACCCAGAAAUAAAACGCAAGCAUGGUUUCCCAAUGUCCAGUGUCAAUGUGGGUACCUGAGCCCAGCUAUUUAAUUCCAACAUAAAAUUAAAGAUGUCAUAACCAUAUUUCCUUUGCAGAGUCCAUCAAAAUAUUUUAACAGAAAUGGUGAAUGAGGUGUUCUCAGGCAAAGGCCAUGGGAAAACACAGACCGUAAGUUUUCGUCUCCUGGUGCCUCGGUUUGAAAAGCCCACGUGAGAACCGUGGCUUCACUGCAGACCCCUCAGGGCCUCUUGGUCCUCAGCUUUUAGAGUAACUGCCCCGUCCUGGAAGACAGCAAGGGGUAGGAUGCUGUCUGGCACGCAGAUCUGGAGAGCAGACCAAUCCGUCACAGAUGCCAUGAGUAUGUCUUAAGCACAUUACAUCACUGUAUUUGUUGGCACUGAGAAAAUAAGGGAAAAUAAUUCUGUUUAAAGCGUUUUAUUACUGGGACUAACUUACCGAAUUGUUUGUUGUUGUUGUUUGUUUAAUCAGAUUAUGCUCCUGCCCAAGCCCCCCCCCCUCCCCCUUUCCAUACAAGGCUGCCUAAUGUCUUCCUUUCUGUGGACACCGGCCCACUAGUGAGCAGAUUUAAUCAAUUAAUUAUAGCAGAGCAGGUACAGGGCAAGCGGCUCAAUGAACUCACAUUAUUUCCAGUCAAUGUUAGAAUGCUAUCAAAGGGGCUGCCGUAAAGAAAGGAACAUUAUGCAUUUGGGAGCAUUUGGGGGUGGGGGGAAGGAAGAAGGAAUUUUUGCACGAGUAUAGCACUCGUUAUUUAAAACAAAAUGAUGCUUCUGUAAAGAGCUUUCGUUCUAAAAGCACACAUUCAGUCACCUGCCAAAAUCUCAGAUUUAUUGCUGCCGUUCACAGAUGCCAAUGUUGAAACUCUCCUCGCCUGCCGCUUGCUGAGUCUUUCAUUUCCUCGAUCCAAAAAUUACUGUAAAGUUGUUGUUUAGUGUCUGCCUUUUUUUUUUUUUUUGCUUUUCCUGGCACCUAAUGAAAUUAUCAGCAAUAAAUGAGCUAUACAGAAGG